GCAUUGAAUCUCUAGAUACUGAAUAUCAGGCAGUGAAGGAGAGUGAACCCUUAGAGACAGGAAACAA
Molecule: non-coding RNA, 67 nt
Organism: Ceratotherium simum simum (southern white rhinoceros)
Lineage: Eukaryota; Metazoa; Chordata; Mammalia; Perissodactyla; Rhinocerotidae
Source: RefSeq, a predicted model, not a curated record